GGGGCCGUAGCUCAGUUGGGAGAGCGCAGCAAUCGCACUGCUGAGGUCAGGGGUUUCGAUUCCCCUCGGCUCCA
Molecule: transfer RNA, 74 nt
Filed under: Pararhodospirillum photometricum DSM 122
Lineage: Bacteria; Pseudomonadati; Pseudomonadota; Alphaproteobacteria; Rhodospirillales; Rhodospirillaceae
Rfam family: tRNA
About the family: Transfer RNA (tRNA) molecules are approximately 80 nucleotides in length.
Source: Rfam by way of RNAcentral